Molecule: ribosomal RNA, 250 nt
Filed under: uncultured bacterium
Lineage: Bacteria
Description: partial 16S ribosomal RNA
Rfam family: Bacterial small subunit ribosomal RNA
Source: RNAcentral
UACAGAGGGUGCAAGCGUUAAUCGGAGUUACUGGGCGUAAAGGGCGCGUAGGCGGUAGUAUGGGUGUGAUGUGAAAGCCCCGGGCUUAACCUGGGAAGGGCAUCGCAAACUAUAAUACUGGAGUAUAUGAGAGGGUGGCGGAAUUUCCGGUGUAGCGGUGAAAUGCGUAGAGAUCGGAAGGAACGUCAAUGGCGAAGGCAGCCACCUGGCAUAAUACUGACGCUGAGGCGCGAAAGCGUGGGGAGCGAAC